CAGUCGCCGCGGGAAUACGUAGGUGGCAAGCGUUGUCCGGAAUUAUUGGGCGUAAAGGGCUCGCAGGCGGUUUCUUAAGUCUGAUGUGAAAGCCCCCGGCUCAACCGGGGAGGGUCAUUGGAAACUGGGAAACUUGAGUGCAGAAGAGGAGAGUGGAAUUCCACGUGUAGCGGUGAAAUGCGUAGAGAUGUGGAGGAACACCGGUGGCGAAGGCGACUCUCUGGUCUGUAACUGACGCUGAGGAGCGAAAGCGUGGGGAGCAAACAGGAUUAGAUACCCGCGUAGUCCCUGUCUCUUAUAA
RNAcentral lists this ribosomal RNA (301 nucleotides) under uncultured bacterium. RNAcentral's name for it is "partial 16S ribosomal RNA". It matches the Rfam family "Bacterial small subunit ribosomal RNA", at positions 509 to 809 of the family's 1533-position model. The record is from RNAcentral.